Equus asinus (donkey) is the source of this 105-nucleotide small nuclear RNA. NCBI's taxonomy places the organism in Eukaryota, Metazoa, Chordata, Mammalia, Perissodactyla, Equidae. The record is from Ensembl.
GUGCUUGCUUUGGCAGCGCAUACACUAAAAUUGGAACAAUACAGAGCAGACAAACAUAGCACCUGUGCAAGGAUGACAUGCAAUUUUGUGGUGUUCCAUGUUUGU